AAAAGAGAGGAGAUUGAACUAGAAUUCCCAUGGACAUAUGGCCAAAAUAACUAUCUAAAUAACUAAGGAUGAGCAGAAAAGGAGAAGACCAAGAGCACAGGAAAAAGAGCCAACAGACAUGUCAAAAAGAACCGAAGUCUGCCUCUUCUACUUCUCUUUUAAAGUUGCUUUGGUUUCCUUUUGUCCUCUUUCCAAGCCUGUUCAAGUCUGAGAUAGAUGAAAAGAGCAGCCAAAGAAACAGAUCUGCUGAAGCAUCAAUUGGAAAGGAUGGGAGGGUUGGAGGAGGAGCACAGCUGGAUGACUACAUUAGAUUGUGGCAUAUUAGGUCACUUUAUCUGUUGAAGCAUCAAUAGGAAAGGAUGAAAGGGAGGGAGGCAGGAAGAGGAAAACACAGAACAGCAGAUGAGGAGCACUCUAUGUUCUGCUUCCAUGUGGAUUGACAGCAUUGCUUUCAUGAGCUGCUGGAGGACACCAUGGAGGAAGAGGGAGAGGGUUUAUGAUAGGCAGUUUGCCAUGGCCCUAAAUGGGCUUUUGGAUGUUCAUUCUUCCUGCUUUAUAUCAUACAACUUUACAAUAAAAAUGAAUUGCAAGCAUCAGCCUUUCUGUUUGAUUGUGAUCAGUGCAGUAGUAAUAAGAUUGGUGUAAACCCAAGGAAUAUUCUGGCAGUAGUGUUCAGUUGGUAUAAAAUAGUGUGAUAAGAAAUGAUCAACAUCUUAUGAAAACAAUAUGGAAAUAGAAAUAUCAAAA
This is a long non-coding RNA of Salvelinus fontinalis (brook trout), 747 nucleotides long. RefSeq lists it as uncharacterized. The transcript is spliced from 3 exons. NCBI's taxonomy places the organism in Eukaryota, Metazoa, Chordata, Actinopteri, Salmoniformes, Salmonidae. The record is from RefSeq and is a predicted model, not a curated record.